RNAcentral lists this ribosomal RNA (497 nucleotides) under uncultured bacterium. RNAcentral's name for it is "partial 16S ribosomal RNA". It matches the Rfam family "Bacterial small subunit ribosomal RNA", at positions 28 to 507 of the family's 1533-position model. The record is from RNAcentral.
GAUGAACGCUGGCGGCGUGCCUAAUACAUGCAAGUCGAGCGAACAGACGAGGAGCUUGCUCCUCUGACGUUAGCGGCGGACGGGUGAGUAACACGUGGAUAACCUACCUAUAAGACUGGGAUAACUUCGGGAAACCGGAGCUAAUACCGGAUAAUAUAUUGAACCGCAUGGUUCAAUAGUGAAAGACGGUUUUGCUGUCACUUAUAGAUGGAUCCGCGCCGCAUUAGCUAGUUGGUAAGGUAACGGCUUACCAAGGCAACGAUGCGUAGCCGACCUGAGAGGGGGAUCGGCCACACUGGAACUGAGACACGGUCCAGACUCCUACGGGAGGCAGCAGUAGGGAAUCUUCCGCAAUGGGCGAAAGCCUGACGGAGCAACGCCGCGUGAGUGAUGAAGGUCUUCGGAGCGUAAAACUCUGUUAUUAGGGAAGAACAAAUGUGUAAGUAACUAUGCACGUCUUGACGGUACCUAAUCAGAAAGCCACGGCUAACUACGUG